This 71-nucleotide transfer RNA is filed under the name Listeria monocytogenes. RNAcentral's name for it is "partial tRNA-Ile". It matches the Rfam family "tRNA". Rfam says of the family: Transfer RNA (tRNA) molecules are approximately 80 nucleotides in length. Their secondary structure includes four short double-helical elements and three loops (D, anti-codon, and T loops). Lineage: Bacteria; Bacillati; Bacillota; Bacilli; Caryophanales; Listeriaceae. The record is from RNAcentral.
UCUAUAGCUCAGCUGGUUAGAGCGCACGCCUGAUAAGCGUGAGGUCGAUGGUUCGAGUCCAUUUAGGCCCA